AGUGAACGCUGGCGGUAGGCCUAACACAUGCAAGUCGAACGGCAGCACAGUAAGAGCUUGCUCUUACGGGUGGCGAGUGGCGGACGGUGGAGGAAUACAUCGGAAUCUACUUUUUCGUGGGGGCUAACGUAGGGAAACUUACGCGAAUACCGCAUACGACCUACGGGUGAAAGCAGGGGAUCUUCGGACCUUGCGCGAGUGAAUGAGCCGAUGUCGGAGUAGCUAGUUGGCGGGGUAAAGGCCAACCAAGGCGACGAUCCGUAGCUGGUCUGAGAGGAUGAUUAGACACACUGGCAGUGAGACAGGGCCCAGACUCCGACGCGAGGAAGCAGUGGGGAAUAUUGGACAAUGGGGGCAAGCCUGAUCCAGCCAUACCGCGUGGGUGAAGAAGCCGUUAGGCUUGUAAAGUCAUUUUGUUGGGAAAGAAAAGCAGCAGGUUAAUACCCCGCUGUUAUGACGGUACCCAAAGAAUAAGCACCGGCUAACUUCGUG
RNAcentral lists this ribosomal RNA (492 nucleotides) under uncultured bacterium. RNAcentral's name for it is "partial 16S ribosomal RNA". It matches the Rfam family "Bacterial small subunit ribosomal RNA", at positions 29 to 507 of the family's 1533-position model. The record is from RNAcentral.